RNAcentral lists this unclassified non-coding RNA (315 nucleotides) under plant metagenome. RNAcentral describes it as "partial contains 5.8S ribosomal RNA, internal transcribed spacer 2, and large subunit ribosomal RNA". The stretch from base 1 to 105 matches the Rfam family "5.8S ribosomal RNA", at positions 50 to 154 of the family's 154-position model. The record is from RNAcentral.
GAACUGCGAUAAGUAAUGUGAAUUGCAGAAUUCAGUGAAUCAUCGAGUCUUUGAACGCACAUUGCGCCCCCUGGCAUUCCGGGGGGCAUGCCUGUCCGAGCGUCAUUGCUGCCCUCCAAGCCCGGCUUGUGUGUUGGGUCGUCGUCCCCUCCGGGGGACGGGCCCGAAAGGCAGCGGCGGCACCGCGUCCGGUCCUCGAGCGUAUGGGGCUUUGUCACCCGCUCGAUAAGGACCGGCCGGGCGCCAGCCGGCGUCUCCAACCUUUUUUUCUCAGGUUGACCUCGGAUCAGGUAGGGAUACCCGCUGAACUUAAGC